UCCUAGACAAGGCAGGGCACUCUUGGGAGA
This 30-nucleotide non-coding RNA is filed under the name Rattus norvegicus (Norway rat). Lineage: Eukaryota; Metazoa; Chordata; Mammalia; Rodentia; Muridae. The record is from RNAcentral.